This 256-nucleotide ribosomal RNA is filed under the name uncultured Gardnerella sp. Its description in RNAcentral is "partial 16S ribosomal RNA". It matches the Rfam family "Bacterial small subunit ribosomal RNA", at positions 99 to 355 of the family's 1533-position model. The record is from RNAcentral. Lineage: Bacteria; Bacillati; Actinomycetota; Actinomycetes; Bifidobacteriales; Bifidobacteriaceae.
CGAACGGGUGAGUAAUGCGUGACCAACCUGCCCCAUGCUCCAGAAUAGCUCUUGGAAACGGGUGGUAAUGCUGGAUGCUCCAACUUGACGCAUGUCUUGUUGGGAAAGUGUUUAGUGGCAUGGGAUGGGGUCGCGUCCUAUCAGCUUGUAGGCGGGGUAAUGGCCCACCUAGGCUUCGACGGGUAGCCGGCCUGAGAGGGCGGACGGCCACAUUGGGACUGAUAUACGGUCCAGACUCCUACGGGAGGCAGCAGCC